This 481-nucleotide ribosomal RNA is filed under the name Camellia sinensis. RNAcentral's name for it is "eukaryotic LSU rRNA". It matches the Rfam family "Eukaryotic large subunit ribosomal RNA", at positions 2926 to 3401 of the family's 3401-position model. The record is from RNAcentral. Lineage: Eukaryota; Viridiplantae; Streptophyta; Magnoliopsida; Ericales; Theaceae.
GGAUUGUUCACCCACCAAUAGGGAACGUGAGCUGGGUUUAGACCGUCGUGAGACUGGUUAGUUUUACCCUACUAAUGACAGCGUCGCAAUAAUAAUUCAACUUAGUACGAGAGGAACCGUUAAUUCGCAUAAUUGGUCAUCGCGCUUGGUUGAAAAGCCGGUGGCGCGAAGUUGCCAUGCGCUGGAUUAUGACUAAACGCCUCUAAGUCAGAAUCAGAGCUAAAAGCGACGCAUGCACCAGCCGCCCACUUGCCGACCGGUAGUAGGGGCUAUCCGGCCCCCAAAGGCACGUGUCGUUGGUAAAGCCCGAGCAGCAGAUGAGUCGCGUGGGCCGCCUUGAAGUAUAAUUCCUAUCUCAAGCGACGGGUAGAAUCCUUUGCAGAAGACUUAAAUACACGACGAGGUAUUAUAAGUGGCAGAGUGGCCUUACUGCCACGAUCCACUAAGAUUUAGCCCUGCGUCGCUCCGAUUCGUCCCUCCC